Punica granatum (pomegranate) is the source of this 1245-nucleotide non-coding RNA. The record is from RefSeq and is a predicted model, not a curated record. Lineage: Eukaryota; Viridiplantae; Streptophyta; Magnoliopsida; Myrtales; Lythraceae.
UACUGGUUAUUGAAAGAAAUUUGUGCAAAUUUGAAUAGAAGAGUUACCUUAGGAUGCAAGCCAUUAUGAAGGUGAUGGCAGGGAGGACAUUGCACAUGGCCGCUGCAAAUGUUGCUGUUGUGUGCUUCAUGCCAAGAAAGGAUCAUUACUCAAGUAAGCCAAGCACCAGUAGUUUGAUGAAGAUCGACAGAGUCAUCUUUGGCCUUGUUUUCCUGUCAUCAACAGAUAAAAGGUUAACUGUUGUCUUAGUUUCUGUCCUUUGCAUGUCUCUGUUAUGCUUUGAUUCUUGCGUGCGAGUACAUUAGAUAAAUAUUUAGAUGGAGAGGGAGAUAGCAAGAGACUUGUCGAAGAUGAUCGCAAAAGGGGCCAUCACGAUUGUUGCUAUGGCGUGGCGGUACACAACGAGCACGUAAUUGCUUAUUCCCUCAUUCAGUGCAGCCUUACAGAUGACAUCCAUCCCCGAGAGGCCGAACUGCAAGAAGAUGACUGCGAUGAAGGGCUUCAGCCUCUGAUUCAGAAAGGUGGAGCUGUUGAAAUCGCAAGGGCUAGCCGUUGCGCUGUGGACAACAAUUGAUCACUACCUAAAAGAGUCUUGAUUUUCCUUGUGUGGAUCGUACACACACGAUGCGAUUGAAAGGAGGGAUUUCAUGUUUCGAUAUUACAUGAUUCGGCGUAUCAGAAUGAUCUUCUUCAAGGAUUCACUUCGAAAGAAAACCGGAGCACAUCAUGUGCAACACCAUGCACUGGACUGCCAGGAAGUCGAGAUGUAUCGGAUCCUCAGCCAAGAGAGGUUUGUUGCUGCCUUCACUUAUGCCGGAUCAAUUCAGCUAGGAAGAGGAGAUUGAAUAUGCUGAAAACAAAGCUCCAGAGAACCAAAGGGACGAGAAUUAUAUGUCUCAAGAACAAUCAGGAAUCGACACCCAAUCUUGUCUCUUCAAGUCCCACGUUGUAUCCAUCCUGCCAACUCCAUUUUCAUCAUCGCCUCGAGAUAUUUUGCUUAGAGAAAAAGGUUCAUGACUAAGCUGUAAACUCUCGAGUCUAGGAUAGGUAGACGUAUCAUUUUGCCAUAUAUAUGUAUCCUCCCAAGCGUACGUGUGGAGGUGGACAUAUACACAGCAUGAGAUGGUCCAGUCAUCCUCCCACGAUCAUGAAAAUUUGACUACAUGAAGGAAAAUUGAAUAAUGAAGAGCUUUGUGUUGCUAAUGGCAGGCAAUAAAAAAAUACUAGUGCUUUUCCCAGUGUACA